GAGUUUGAUCAUGGCUCAGAAUCAACGCUGGCGGCGUGCCUAACACAUGCAAGUCGAGCGCGAAAGGGGAGCAAUCCCCAAGUAGAGCGGCGAACGGGUGAGUAACGCGUGGGUAAUCUACCUCCGAGUGGGGAAUAACAGCGGGAAACUGCUGCUAAUACCGCAUGACAUCGUCGUUUCUUCGGGAGUGACGAUCAAAGCCGGGGACCGCAAGGCCUGGCGCUUGGAGACGAGCCCGCGUCCGAUUAGCUAGUUGGCGGGGUAAUGGCCCACCAAGGCUCCGAUCGGUAGCCGGCCUGAGAGGGCGGACGGCCACACUGGGACUGAGACACGGCCCAGACUCCUACGGGAGGCAGCAGUGGGGAAUUUUUCGCAAUGGGGGAAACCCUGACGAAGCAACGCCGCGUGGAGGAUGAAGGCCUUCGGGUCGUAGACUCCUGUCGACCGGGACGAACGCUAUUGGGCCCAAUACGCCCGAUAGUCGACUGUACCGGUGGAGGAAGCCACGGCUAACUCUGUGCCAGCAGCCGCGGUAAUACAGAGGUGGCAAGCGUUGUUCGGAAUUACUGGGCGUAAAGGGCGCGUAGGCGGUCUUGUCAGUCCCUUGUGAAAUCCCCCGGCUCAACUGGGGAACUGCACGGGAAACAGCAGGGCUUGAGUUC
Molecule: ribosomal RNA, 662 nt
Filed under: uncultured bacterium
Lineage: Bacteria
Description: bacterial SSU rRNA
Rfam family: Bacterial small subunit ribosomal RNA
Source: RNAcentral